Molecule: ribosomal RNA, 497 nt
Filed under: uncultured bacterium
Lineage: Bacteria
Description: partial 16S ribosomal RNA
Rfam family: Bacterial small subunit ribosomal RNA
Source: RNAcentral
GAUGAACGCUGGCGGCGUGCCUAAUACAUGCAAGUCGAGCGAACAGACGAGGAGCUUGCUCCUCUGACGUUAGCGGCGGACGGGUGAGUAACACGUGGAUAACCUACCUAUAAGACUGGGAUAACUUCGGGAAACCGGAGCUAAUACCGGAUAAUAUAUUGAACCGCAUGGUUCAAUAGUGAAAGACGGUUUUGCUGUCACUUAUAGAUGGAUCCGCGCCGCAUUAGCUAGUUGGUAAAGUAACGGCUUACCAAGGCAACGAUGCGUAGCCGACCUGAGAGGGUGAUCGGCCACACUGGAACUGAGACACGGUCCAGACUCCUACGGGAGGCAGCAGUAGGGAAUCUUCCGCAAUGGGCGAAAGCCUGACGGAGCAACGCCGCGUGAGUGAUGAAGGUCUUCGGAUCGUAAAACUCUGUUAUCAGGGAAGAACAAAUGUGUAAGUAACUAUGCACGUCUUGACGGUACCUAAUCAGAAAGCCACGGCUAACUACGUG